Molecule: non-coding RNA, 87 nt
Filed under: unclassified sequences
Description: c-di-GMP sequence
Rfam family: c-di-GMP-II-GAG riboswitch aptamer
Source: Rfam by way of RNAcentral
CAACCAGUACGGGGCGACGACCCGCAGUCCAUCGAAACCGGGCACUCAGACUGCGACGAGCCGGUAGCGCGACCGACGUACGCCCCC